This 425-nucleotide ribosomal RNA is filed under the name uncultured bacterium. Its description in RNAcentral is "bacterial SSU rRNA". It matches the Rfam family "Bacterial small subunit ribosomal RNA", at positions 355 to 796 of the family's 1533-position model. The record is from RNAcentral.
UUAGGGAUCUUGCGCAAUGGCCGGAAGGCUGACGCAGCGACGCCGCGUGGGGGAGGACGGCCCUCGGGUUGUAAACCCCUUUUCCCGGGGACGAGGACGGACGGUACCCGGGGAAGAAGCACCGGCUAACCCCGUGCCAGCAGCCGCGGUAAUACGGGGGGUGCGAGCGUUGUCCGGAUUCACUGGGCGUAAAGGGCGCGUAGGCGGCCGGAUCAGUCGGGUUUUUAAGCGCGGGGCUCACCCCCGUUGAUGGGCCCGGGACGGUCCGGCUGGGGCGCGGUCGAGGGAUGCGGAAUGCCGGGUGUAGUGGUGAAAUGCGUAGAGAUCCGGCGGAACACCGGUGGCGGAGGCGGCAUCCUGGGCCGAGGCCGACGCUGAGGCGCGAGAGCGUGGGGAGCGAACCGGAUUAGAUACCCGCGUAGUCC